RNAcentral lists this ribosomal RNA (275 nucleotides) under uncultured bacterium. RNAcentral describes it as "partial 16S ribosomal RNA". It matches the Rfam family "Bacterial small subunit ribosomal RNA", at positions 524 to 793 of the family's 1533-position model. The record is from RNAcentral.
GACGAACCGUGCGAACGUUAUUCGGAAUCACUGGGCUUAAAGCGCGUGUAGGCGGGCGGGAACGUCGGUCGUUGAAAUCCCCCGGCUCAACCGGGGAAUGGGCGCCGAAACGACUCGCCUCGAGGACGUAGGGGGACCUGGAACUUCCGGUGGAGCGGUGAAAUGCGUUGAGAUCGGAAGGAACGCCCGUGGCGAAAGCGAGGUCCUGGACGUCUUCUGACGCGUGAGACGGCGAAAAGCUAGGGGAGCGAACGGGGAUUAAGAUGACCCCUGAG